Molecule: non-coding RNA, 113 nt
Organism: Acanthosepion pharaonis
Lineage: Eukaryota; Metazoa; Mollusca; Cephalopoda; Sepiida; Sepiidae
Source: the annotation of a GenBank genome assembly
UUACAGCCAUAUCAUGUUGAAACACAGGUUCUUGUCUGAUCACUGAAGUUAAGCAACGUUGAACCGGGUCAGAACCUAGAUUAGUGAGUGCUUGGGAAUACUAGGUGUUGUAA